UGGGAUCCAUCAGGUCUGCUGCUUGCUCUGUCAAAACCUUGCCCUUCUUAUCACCAGGAUGAUGUUUAGCUGGUGCCCCUACCCCUCAGGAAUAGGCAAGUCAAGAGGCUGAAAAAUCUGAAGCAUGUUUCCAAAGAGCAACCUGACAGUCACUUGCUGGGUAUGGAGUGGCAUGAGGAAGCUCUUUCUAUUGCUUUCUCUCUUGCUGUCCCAUGCAGCUCAUUUGGAAUGCAAAAAGGAUAACCAGUUCAUCUGGAAACCAGGGAUACUGAAGAAAGACUGUUGGCCCAUAGUUGUGCAUGGCAUUCUCUCGAUGUGGAAGAAAGGACCAAACCAAAGAAAGGACCUCCUUUGCUUCAACUCAGAUUCUUUUGUGUUUUAGGCAGGUGGUGCGGAGAGAUACACAUAGGUUGUAAUUGUGAUAAAGGCUCCCACGUUUGGUGGCUAGAUACUGAAAGUACUUUUAAACAACUGCCUGUUUAGGUGAUUGAAAGACUUCUACCAUUGACUUGGUUCUCUG
This 520-nucleotide long non-coding RNA is filed under the name Rhinopithecus bieti (black snub-nosed monkey). RNAcentral describes it as "lncRNA (ENSRBIG00000045371.1)". The record is from RNAcentral. Lineage: Eukaryota; Metazoa; Chordata; Mammalia; Primates; Cercopithecidae.